GAUGAACGCUGGCGGCGUGCCUAAUACAUGCAAGUCGAGCGAACAGACGAGGAGCUUGCUCCUCUGACGUUAGCGGCGGACGGGUGAGUAACACGUGGAUAACCUACCUAUAAGACUGGGAUAACUUCGGGAAACCGGAGCUAAUACCGGAUAAUAUAUUGAACCGCAUGGUUCAAUAGUGAAAGACGGUUUUGCUGUCACUUAUAGAUGGAUCCGCGCCGCAUUAGCUAGUUGGUAAGGUAACGGCUUACCAAGGCAACGAUGCGUAGCCGACCUGAGAGGGGUAAUGGCCACACUGGAACCGAGACACGGUCCAGACUCCUACGGGAGGCAGCAGGAGGGAAUCUUCCGCAAUGGGCGAAAGCCUGACGGAGCAACGCCGCGUGAGUGAUGAAGGUCUUCGGAUCGUAAAACUCUGUUAUUAGGGAAGAACAAAUGUGUAAGUAACUAUGCACGUCUUGACGGUACCUAAUCAGAAAGCCACGGCUAACUACGUG
This 497-nucleotide ribosomal RNA is filed under the name uncultured bacterium. RNAcentral describes it as "partial 16S ribosomal RNA". It matches the Rfam family "Bacterial small subunit ribosomal RNA", at positions 28 to 507 of the family's 1533-position model. The record is from RNAcentral.